CGUGUUCGUGUCCUAUAUUUGUUGUGAACAAACACCACCUUUUAUUUCUGCUUAAGCAGAUGCAGAGGUCAAAAUUUUCUGCUCCUCUAAAGCUCUGGGAUCUCUCAAAAACAGCAUGCCAUGCAUUUAUAAAAAUAUAUCCUGUAAAGUGCAGACCUUCCACGUUCAGCUGGCGACAGCUCAUCCCAGACAGGACUGGCAAUGCAGGGAUCCAGAAAAUGGCAGCAAUACAGAGAUCCAAAGUCCACAUCAUCUUUACUAGAGAAGCUCCUGGGGCAAUUGACAAAAGAGAGUUAGCUGCUACGGUAGCAUUUAGCUGCAGUACGCAUCCAUUGCCAUUACUUCUGUCUGCUGAGAUAACCUGGACACUCUCUUUUAAUUCCUUAUUAUUGGUCUGUGAAUCCAGAAUGGAUCCAAAACACACUGAUAUACAAGC
Molecule: long non-coding RNA, 436 nt
Filed under: Anas platyrhynchos platyrhynchos (common mallard)
Lineage: Eukaryota; Metazoa; Chordata; Aves; Anseriformes; Anatidae
Description: lncRNA (ENSAPLG00000029190.1)
Source: RNAcentral